CACGCACACACGCGCGGCAUAUCAAUAAGCGGAGGAAAAGAAACUAACAAGGAUUCCCCUAGUAACGGCGAGUGAAGCGGGAAGAGCUCAAAUUUGAAAUCUUAAAGGGUUUCCCUUUACGAAUUGUAGUUUAAAGAAGUGUUUUCUGUUGAGGUUUUGGUAAAAGUUCUUUGGAAUAGGACAGUCAUAGAGGGUGAGAAUCCCGUAUUUGACCUUUACUUUCAACUUUGUGAUACACUUUCAAAGAGUCGGAUUGUUUGGGAAUGCAGUCUAAAAUGGGUGGUAAAUUUCAUCUAAAGCUAAAUAUUGGCGAGAGACCGAUAGCGAACAAGUACCGUGAGGGAAAGAUGAAAAGAACUUUGAAAAGAGAGUUAAACAGUACGUGAAAUUGUCAAAGAGGGAAGCGUUUGACACCAGUGUUGUUUUUCUGAAAAUCAAUUAAAGAACUGUUUAUGCUAAGUUGUUUAGACUUUAUCAGCUAACUGCUUAGUUUUGAGCUUUUCUUUAAUGCACUUUUCAGUUAACAAGUCAACAUCAAUUUCUUUUGCUGUAAAAAAGCUUGAGGAAGGUGGCUUGAGAUUCGUCUUAAGUGUUUAUAGCCUCUUGCCUAUGCAGUCGGAGAGAUUGAGGUCUGCAGCGUAGAUCCUUCGGGGCUAAAUGCAUUUGUGCUAAGUUAUAGCAUUUUAUAGACAACUUGUUGACUAUGAUUUGUCUUGUAGCUUACUCGCUUAUGUUAUUUUACCUACGCUUAGGAUGUUGAUCUCUCACAGUCGAGC
Molecule: ribosomal RNA, 776 nt
Filed under: uncultured Neocallimastigales
Lineage: Eukaryota; Fungi; Neocallimastigomycota; Neocallimastigomycetes; Neocallimastigales
Description: partial large subunit ribosomal RNA
Rfam family: Eukaryotic large subunit ribosomal RNA
Source: RNAcentral